Molecule: small RNA, 31 nt
Filed under: Bombyx mori (domestic silkworm)
Lineage: Eukaryota; Metazoa; Arthropoda; Insecta; Lepidoptera; Bombycidae
Description: ovarian small RNA-27037
Source: RNAcentral
UCCAUGUGAUCGAAAGCGGCCGCGAGCCUGU